This is a long non-coding RNA of Ornithodoros turicata, 182 nucleotides long. RefSeq lists it as uncharacterized. Lineage: Eukaryota; Metazoa; Arthropoda; Arachnida; Ixodida; Argasidae. The record is from RefSeq and is a predicted model, not a curated record. The transcript has 3 exons.
UGCAACACCACAGGCAUCAACUCCAACAAGCAGGGCAACGCGGACUCCCAUUUUAUCCACUCCUGUUGCAAGUAUCCAGCAGCUUGAAAGCACCACGGAAGGCUUCGAAAAUCCUGAUGAACAGAUCGAAGACACUUCACCUGGCACAUCAUUGGCACAGCCACUUCCACCUUUCACCUUGC